Molecule: ribosomal RNA, 445 nt
Filed under: uncultured bacterium
Lineage: Bacteria
Description: bacterial SSU rRNA
Rfam family: Bacterial small subunit ribosomal RNA
Source: RNAcentral
GGUAUGGGAUGAGCUUGCGUCCGAUUAGCUAGUUGGCGGGGCAACGGCCCACCAAGGCGACGAUCGGUAGCCGGCCUGAGAGGGUGAUCGGCCACAUUGGGACUGAGAUACGGCCCAGACUCCUACGGGAGGCAGCAGUAGGGAAUAUUGCACAAUGGGGGAAACCCUGAUGCAGCAACGCCACGUGUGGGAAGAAGCAUUUCGGUGUGUAAACCACUGUCGUGAGGGAAUAAGGCGUCUUCUCGGAGACGUUGAAUGUACCUUGAAAGGAAGCACCGGCAAACUUCGUGCCAGCAGCCGCGGUAAUACGAGGGGUGCAAGCGUUGUUCGGAAUCACUGGGCGUAAAGGGAGCGUAGGCGGAGAUGCAAGCGGACUGUACAAUACCGGGGCCCAACCCCGGGCCUGCAGUUCGGACUGCACCUCUUGGAUAGUUCAGGGGCAGGC